CGGUUAUACAGACAAUGCAAUUAAAACAUCUUAUUUAAUAAUUAGUUGUGUACAUUAUUUAGUUAAAAUAUGAAUUUUAUAGGUGGAAUUUAAUUUUUAUUUAAGUUUUUUUUGUUUAAUGAUUUAUUUAAAUUUUUAAAAAACUAGGAUUAGAUACCCUAUUAUUAUAAAAAGAAUUAAGUUAUUUUAUUAGUAAAUUUUAUUUAGAUUUAAGUAAAAAAAUUUGGCGGUAUUUUAGUCUUUUCAGAGGAACCUGUUCUAUAAUUGAUAGUCCACGAUUAUUUUGACUUUAGCUUUUAGUUUGUAUAUCGUCGUCUUUAAAUAUUUUAAUUGAAUUUUAAUGUUUAUGAUUUUUUAUAAUAAAAGAUGUCAGAUCAAGAUAUAGCUUAUGCUUAAGUAGAAAUGGGUUACAUUUAUUUUAAUAUUAGGUUUUAUUAAUAGAUUAAUAAUUAAAACUGGAUUUGAAAGUAAAUUUAAAAAUAUUUUUAUAUUGAACAAGUUUUAAAAUGUGUACAUAUUGCCCGUCGCUUUCAUUUUAAUGUGAAAUAAGUCGUAACAAAGUAGGUGUACUGGAAAGUGUACCUA
Molecule: ribosomal RNA, 585 nt
Filed under: Dictyoptera aurora
Lineage: Eukaryota; Metazoa; Arthropoda; Insecta; Coleoptera; Lycidae
Description: partial 12S ribosomal RNA
Source: RNAcentral